UUCAGGUCCCUCCCCAGAAGCGUCCCUUGGCCCGGCCAGUGCCUGGAGCCGCGGGCAGACGCCGUGGCCGGAGUCAGCCCCGCACACGCGGGGGCGUUUCCGGGGAAACCCAGCGAAGACGUGUCUCCUCUUCCCAGCCGGCCUUUGGUGCCCCCUCCUCUCCCCGCCCGGCCCCGGCCCCGGCCCCGGCCCCGGCCCCGGCCCCUCCUCGCCCGGCUUUGGUUCUCGUCUCCCAAGGGCUGAAGAGCUUUUGCCUGACCCCGGUUGCUGGGCUCCACACGGGGGUGGCCGGGUGAGACGGCCCCGCCCGCAGCACGCCGGAGCUCAGACGGGGUGCUCGAAUGGCCCCUAUGGGCCCGACACGCUGUGAAACUCUUUGGCCCAGGUUGGUGGGGACCCAGUCACGCCCCAUCCUGCCGACAGGCGCUGAGCUGGCGGCAUCAGUCCAGUUCCCGGUAGGAGGGAGUGUGAGCUGGUCAGGGCCGGGGACUGGGAGUCCGAGCUGGUUUCUAGUCCUGAUUCUGUGACCUCGGGCAAGGCGCUUUGGGAGCUGUGCCUUGGUUUCCCCAGCUGUACGCUGGGGUUCGUGAUGCUUGGUCACCUUUGUGAUGCGCUUUGAGAUCCGCAAAAGGACGUGUUUGAGGCACUUUCCAGGGGCAGAAUGAGGGAAGCACUGCAUCUGUAGCUGCUCUGAGUGCAAGCAGAGAACUUCAGUGUGCCGGGCUACCAGCAUGGAACCCCCUCCUCUCAGGAGUCUGUGGACCGGCUCUCCCCACCCCUAACGCACAGUGGCCAAACGGAGGUCCCACCCUCACUUAUUCCACACUUGCUCAUCUGCAAGGCCUUGCCCUGUCCACAGCCAAGUCCCUCAUAAAGACACAGAGGUAGCUCCUCAGCUGGUGUAAAUCAGCAAAACUCCACUGACUGCCAAGCUACCUCCACCUAGUCUGACCCCAGCCUCCGCCUGCGCUGGCUUGUGGAUACAUUGCCUGGUUGGUGGUCCCCUUCCCCGGACUUCUGGCUCCAUUAUUCUAUGAUUCCGUGAUCCGUGGGUUGGGAGCUCUCAGGCAUGGCCCGCCUGUCCUGGAACGUCGGGAAAGCACCGAGCUCAUUGUGGGCGCUCCCGUAAAUAGUACGUCUUGGGAAGGAGGACGCGUGGCUUAGCUGCUGGGAGGGGGAGGCCCAGCCAACAAGCAUGGUUAAUUCUCCCCAACCUAGAAGUCUUCCCUCUCCAGCUUCUCACAUCUCUUCCCUCAUCCCGUUCACAGCCAGACCAGAACCAGCGGUGGCCUCCAGUUUCUGAGCUGGAUGCUGCUGGGCCAUGGGACUGGUACCAAAUGAGAAGGUGGCUGUAAAGGGGAGAAAUAUCCUGUACCUCUGCUCUCAGCUUUCCUGUCUUUGUGGCCUUAUCACCGCUCCAGCCAUACUACCUGAAACAGUGUGUGUCCUUGGACAGCAGGCUCUCGGGAGACUAUUAAGCAGAGUGUCCUUUAUGCCCAUGCAUGGCUUGGGUUACAUACGGCUAGGCUGAGCAGCCAUAAUCCAUUAGCGCUCAUGAUAAUUGCUCACAGCGGCACCCUGACUUGUGGAAAGCAAGGGCCGAACAUCCAGAGAGAAUGAGCCUCUGGCGGCAAGAGGAGGCUGCAGAGGGAUGGAAUGGAAUCAGAGAUGAGCGAGUCAAACCAUGGAGACAAUCAGGGCGAGGAAGAUAGCGUUCUCGACUGCUGCAGGAGUGUUGUUGUGUCCUGCUACUUCCUGCUGUCCCCCCCACACUCCCGCACUCAGCAGCCAGAGCAUGGCUUGCAUGUCUGUCAUUCUCCCUCUGCCCGCUCUCUUUUGCCCCACAGCAGCUAGCAGGGAGGGGUUCAAUUCCCUGCUCUGCCACUGAUGUGGGGGCCUGCUAAUGGCCUACGGCAGGUCGGAGAGGAUGGUGGGUGGGCCGGGGGGUUGUUGGUUGGUCGCUCAUGGGGGGCUGGAAAGAGCUCUGCCUGGCAAGCAGAGUAAGGUAUCAGCCCAUCUUAUGGGGAGGGGUCUGGCUCUUUUCAAUCCAUGGCCUACGAGCAGGGGCUGUGCUGCUAGGGAUUGGGCUUGCAUGGCUAGAUGGAUGAGCACUUUCCCUCCAAGGGGCCUGAGAACAGCUGCUGGUUGCACAGAGUUGCUGCUGGAGUGGGCUCAGCCCUGCUGGUAAUGGCUGGGGUGGCCGGAGAAGAAGACAGAGCUGCGGGGAUCGCUGCGGGGGCAGAGAGCGGUGGGGCUGGAGGGGAAUAGGAAGCCUUGUAUGAGGUUAGAUGUAGCUUCUCUUUGGGAGGGGGACAGGAGGAAGAACCCAGCUGUCUUUUGAACGCUGCAGUUCAAACGCCACCAGUGCACCUUAUUCAGCAGGUCCUGCUGUGGCCCGUCUGUGUUCCCAACUCUCCGGGCAGUGGGACAUACAAAUGCUGCUGCCCUCCAGGGUGUAAUGCAGGGGCCUGUCUGCCUCCCUCUUUCCACACAGGCAGGUCCUCAGAGUCCUGUCUCCAUUUCCAAUGCAGCCCCAGCUAAGGGCAUGAAUAAAUUCACAGCCAUCGGUUCCUCCUCUGCAGAGCAGGGUGGGGGGUCAGCGCUAGGCACAGCAAACAGUGACUCAGGACUGAGACACCUGCUUGGAGAUCAGCGGAUGGCCUGGAACAGGUGGCCACUGGGCUGUAAAUGAGCCUGUAGCUCCAGGUGCAGAGAGGCGUGACUGCUGUGCAUGUGUUUAGAGCCGUCCCUUGGGUACGGCGAAUUGGGGCAACCGCCCUGGGCCCCGCACUUUGGGGGACCCCAAGCUUCCAUAAAAUCAUGAGGAGGCAAACAAGGAGUUCUUACCAGACAAGGUGGAGGAGAGACAGAAUAGAAAAGAUGGGUGAAAUGUGGCUUUUGUUGAAGUUUUUGGAACACUGAACUGCUGGUUAGUUACAAGUGGAUGCUUUGGCUGGCAAGUGGACCAAGACAUCUGAUGCUUGGACCCUGGUUAGUUACGAUCUGUUCAGGGCUGUCAUCUGGUUGGAGCAUUUCUCCUUACACAAGGCAGGUUUGGAUGGAUGCAAUAUAAUUGACUUCAUGAUUUGAUGAAAAGUCAAGAGAAAGAGAACUUAUACUACGUUACAGCAUCCGGGAACCCCCAGCACUGAGACACGCCUGCAUCCCCUCUGCAAGAUCACAGCACCUGGGAACCCCCAGCACUGAAACAUCCCUACAUCCCCUCUGCUAGAUCACAGCACCUGGGACUUUGCCACUGACUCACCUCAAACUAAUGUCCACUGAUUUUGGGCAUCCACCUUGAGACACCUUGAUCUGAUCAUCAGAGAACCCUAGGGUUAGAGGUAGGGUGACUAUACAUCUCAUUUUGGCUGGGACAGUCCGUUUUUUAAGCCCUGUCCUGGCUAUCCUGCCUUUUUUGGCAAAAGUGGGCAUUUGUCCCAUUUACUCUUGCCAAAUUGAUCAGGAAGUUUUUUUGCUGUGGCUCUGGUCUACUUCAGCUGGAGUUGUGGGUGCUCAGCUCCUCUGAAAAUCACGA
Molecule: long non-coding RNA, 3538 nt
Organism: Chelonia mydas (Green sea turtle)
Lineage: Eukaryota; Metazoa; Chordata; Testudines; Cheloniidae
Exons: 3
Source: RefSeq, a predicted model, not a curated record